UACAGAGGUGGCAAGCGUUGUUCGGAAUUACUGGGCGUAAAGGGCGCGUAGGCGGCCAUCUAAGUCAGACGUGAAAUCCCCCGGCUUAACCUGGGAACUGCGUCUGAUACUGGAAGGCUUGAGUAUGGGAGAGGGAUGUAGAAUUCCAGGUGUAGCGGUGAAAUGCGUAGAUAUCUGGAGGAAUACCGGUGGCGAAGGCGGCAUCCUGGACCAUUACUGACGCUGAGGCGCGAAAGCCAGGGGAGCGAACGGG
RNAcentral lists this ribosomal RNA (253 nucleotides) under uncultured bacterium. Its description in RNAcentral is "partial 16S ribosomal RNA". It matches the Rfam family "Bacterial small subunit ribosomal RNA", at positions 524 to 776 of the family's 1533-position model. The record is from RNAcentral.